GAUGAACGCUAGCGGCAGGCCUAACACAUGCAAGUCGAGGGGCAUCGGGAUUGAAGCUUGCUUCAAUUGCCGGCGACCGGCGCACGGGUGCGUAACGCGUAUGUAACCUACCUAUAACAGGGGCAUAACACUGAGAAAUUGGUACUAAUUCCCCAUAAUAUUCGGAGAGGCAUCUCUCCGGGUUGAAAACUCCGGUGGUUAUAGAUGGACAUGCGUUGUAUUAGCUAGUUGGUGAGGUAACGGCUCACCAAGGCAACGAUACAUAGGGGGACUGAGAGGUUAACCCCCCACACUGGUACUGAGACACGGACCAGACUCCUACGGGAGGCAGCAGUGAGGAAUAUUGGUCAAUGGACGCAAGUCUGAACCAGCCAUGCCGCGUGCAGGAAGACGGCUCUAUGAGUUGUAAACUGCUUUUGUACGAGGGUAAACUCACCUACGUGUAGGUGACUGAAAGUAUCGUACGAAUAAGGAUCGGCUA
This 481-nucleotide ribosomal RNA is filed under the name uncultured bacterium. Its description in RNAcentral is "bacterial SSU rRNA". It matches the Rfam family "Bacterial small subunit ribosomal RNA", at positions 28 to 499 of the family's 1533-position model. The record is from RNAcentral.